Non-coding RNA from Caerostris darwini, 72 nucleotides. NCBI's taxonomy places the organism in Eukaryota, Metazoa, Arthropoda, Arachnida, Araneae, Araneidae. The record is from the annotation of a GenBank genome assembly.
UCUCAUGUGGUCUAGUGGUUAGGAUUCCUGGCUUUCCUUGGCGACCCGGAGUUCGAUUCCCGGCAUUAGGAA